GCUCGCCGCGUCGGGCCGCUCUCCUCCUGCUGGAGAACCGCGGCGGCGCCUCGUGCUCGCCGAGCAGCCGUUACACGCGCCGGCGGCCGGAGACUGCGCGAGCCGCCCCAGCGGCAUCCACCGCACCCACCCGACCUGCAGUCCGGCCGCCCCUCAGGGGCGCUGUUCAAGCAGUCCUUUAAAACACGAUGUGCAGCACGUUCACGGGCGUUUUAAUGUCACUUCAACACCACACGUUCAACUUUCAGAAAUCCAUCCGAGGAGUUUAUAAGUGAUCUCGUAACAAACUACAAAUCCCAGGAUGCAAAAGUAGUGGCGCCUGCGCAGACUUAAGGUGAAACAUUGCGGCAGGAGUUGGUCGAGAAAGUGACGGGUCAAUCAGGAAUUUAAUCAAGUAUAUAUGGGAUUGUUUUUCUUUGAAUUACACUGUACAAUAUUUAGAGUGCUGUGUACUGUUCGCUACAUUGCAGGGAGGACUUGGUAACUAUCGAGAGUGCAGUAGAGAUUCACCAGGGUGUUACCUGGAAUAGGAGAGCGGAGGAUGCUUUAUUUUCACUGGGAUGUAGGAGGCGGGGAGAUGAACUUAUAGAGAUUUAUAUGUUUAUGAAGGAUGCAGAUAGGAUAGUCUGAUUUUUCCCCAGGCUUGCUGAGUCGAACUAGAGGUUGCAGAUUUAAGAUGAGAGAAGAGAAAAGUAAGGGAGAUUUGAAGGGUAAAAUAUUUUUCGUACAAAGUGUGGUAAACAUUUAGAAUGAGUUGUCAGAGUAGGUGGUGAAGGCAGGUAAAAUUACAAUGUUUGAAAGGUAUUUGGGCAGACAUGUAGAUGAGAAAAACAAAGUGAUAUAUUGUGCUGAUAUGGGGAUAUGAGCGUUGGCACGUGGCCUAGUGGAUAAGGCAUCAGGCUAGUGAUCUGAAGGUCACUGGUUUGAGCCUCAGCUGAGGCAGCGUGUUGUGUCCUUGAGCAAGGCACUUAACAGCACAUUGCUCUGUGAUGACACUGGUGCCAAGCUGCAUGGGUUCUAGUGCCCUUCCCUUGGACAACAUCAGUGGUGUGGAGAGGGGAAGGCUUGCAGCUUGGGCAACUGCCGGUCUCCCAUACAACCCUACCAAGGCCUACGGCCUGGAAACUUUCCAAGGCGCAAAUCCAUGGUCUCACGAGACUAACGGAUGCCUAUUAUUAUGGGGAUAAGGGACUUGAAGUGUUUUGGAUUUUGAAAUAUUUGCACUUACCUUAAAUUUUCAGAUCAUGGUGAUAGAUCUUUCUUUAUUUUAUGAACACCAUACCAUUAAGUCAUAUUCACUCCAAUGUUGACAAAUCCACUCUUCCAACACAUGUCAAGAUCUUCACUUUUCACUUUAUAAGGUAUUUUUCAUUAUCUUCUGUUCAUUACAUAUGUGAGGUCACUUCUGUGAUGCUCCGAGACCUGCACAUCACCUGGGAACCUUCCCAUCGCCUUAACACAAGAAAAUCUGGUUGCACAAAAUGCAUGGCACUAUUUUCUUUUAAAAAUUGUGGUGAUGAAACAUCUGUUGAUUACAAAACAGCAGAGAAAUCCAAAGCAACAGGCAUAAAAUGCUGGAAAAAUUCAGCAGGUCAGGCAGCAUCUAUGGAAAUAAAUAAACAGUUGACGUUACGGGCCAAGGCCCUUCUUCAGCAUCUUGUGGAAUUAUCCAUUUAUGAGGAGUCAACACUCAAAAAAUUUUGAAAUUUGGAAUUUUGGAUAAAGGAUGCCGGAUGUGUUUGAGCAUUAUCUAGCAUGGAGGAGAUGAAGCUCUGAUUAAUUCACUGAAACAUCUUCAUCAGAAUAAAAUCAACCCAUGCAUACCACAAAUGUUGAAACGGUUAAAUUAUUACAUAGAAAUGAAUCUACGACAAUGAAAAGAUGACCAGUGUUGGAAAUGGAAUCAAGUAAUACCCAUCUCAUUGGAUACAUUUGUCUCCAGUAUUAUCCCCUACUGUAGAAGCAGAUGGACCUCAGAACUGAGCACAUUUCUUCACUCAUGACUCUUGUAAGUUACUGGUUGAAGACCUGACUUUUUAAAGACAAUCAGGUCUUGGUAAUUUCUGAACAAGUUGCACUGUUUUUCUGCUAUUAUUCAUAGAAUCCAGGAUACUGUGUUGGCUCCCUAGUGUCAGGGUCAAAGAUAUCUCCGAGUAGGUACAGGGCAUUCUGAAAGGGGAGUGGGGGCAUCCACAGGCCAUGAUCCAUAUUGAUAUGAAUGAUUUGAGCUGGAAGAGAAACAAGUGCUGCAGAGAAAAUGAUGGGGUUAGGCAAAUAGUUACAAACCAGGCUCUCAAGGGUCAUUGUCUUGGGAUUACUGCCUGUGCUGUGUAGUAAGUAAGGGUUACACUGAAACUGGAGGGGCCACAAUAUCCUUGCAAGAAAGGUGUUACGUGGGAGGAUUUAAACUAGUG
This is a long non-coding RNA of Hypanus sabinus (Atlantic stingray), 2414 nucleotides long. RefSeq lists it as uncharacterized. NCBI's taxonomy places the organism in Eukaryota, Metazoa, Chordata, Chondrichthyes, Myliobatiformes, Dasyatidae. The transcript is spliced from 3 exons. The record is from RefSeq and is a predicted model, not a curated record.